Molecule: transfer RNA, 66 nt
Filed under: Mirhipipteryx andensis
Lineage: Eukaryota; Metazoa; Arthropoda; Insecta; Orthoptera; Ripipterygidae
Description: tRNA-Asp
Source: RNAcentral
AAGGAAUUAAUUAAUAUAUAAUAUUAGUUUGUCAAGCUAAAAUAAUUGAUUCAUCAAUAUUCCUUU